This 553-nucleotide ribosomal RNA is filed under the name uncultured bacterium. RNAcentral describes it as "partial 16S ribosomal RNA". It matches the Rfam family "Bacterial small subunit ribosomal RNA", at positions 355 to 898 of the family's 1533-position model. The record is from RNAcentral.
UAGGGAAUCUUCCACAAUGGACGCAAGUCUGAUGGAGCAACGCCGCGUGAGUGAAGAAGGUUUUCGGACCGUAAAGCUCUGUUGUUGGUGAAGAAGGAUAGAGGUAGUAACUGGCCUUUAUUUGACGGUAAUCAACCAGAAAGUCACGGCUAACUACGUGCCAGCAGCCGCGGUAAUACGUAGGUGGCAAGCGUUGUCCGGAUUUACUGGGCGUAAAGCGAGCGCAGGCGGAAGAAUAAGUCUGAUGUGAAAGCCCUCGGCUUAACCGAGGAAUUGCAUCGGAAACUGUUUUUCUUGAGUGCAGAAGAGGAGAGUAGAACUCCAUGUGUAGCGGUGGAAUGCGUAGAUAUAUGGAAGAAUACCAGUGGCGAAGGCGGCUCUCUGGUCUGCAACUGACGCUGAGGCUCGAAAGCAUGGGUAGCGAACAGGAUUAGAUACCCUGGUAGUCCAUGCCGUAAACGAUGAGUGCUAAGUGUUGGGAGGCUUCCGCCUCUCAGUGCUGCAGCUAACGCAUUAAGCACUCCGCCUGGGGGAGUACGACCGCAAGGUUGAA